UAAUUCUUGUGUCUUUCAGCCUGUUUCUGCCUAUCACCAUGAGUGAUUCCUUGAUACUCAUAUUUAUCAUCAAGAUCUCAAUUAUAAGCUCAAGUCUUGAUGACAACUUGAUGAUCUGCAGGAAGCACCACCAUGUAUAGAGGGCAAAGACCACUCUGGAAUCAGUCAAGGCUCAUAGGAACUCCAAUCUUCCCAACUGUGAGAGGGCCUUGCUCCAGUGACUGUUGGAUUGCAGUGACCAGACAUGCUACUGUAACUCUCAUGGUCAUGUGCUGGAAUUAGCAGAUAUUCAACAAUUUGGCCAUCUUGCUGACCUAUUGAUAUCAGAAGACCACAACAGCUCUGCAAAGCAAGUUGGAAAACAGAAUCCAUGAAACUGGCAGUGACCGGAAACCAGUUAGAAGACUUUGGUCUGUGACGUAGAGGAGUGGGCAGACGCAGAAGCAAAGACGACAAACAACAGAAGUGAUAUGGAUGUCUUCGUCAUAUGGCAUGACUCUGCUGACCCAGCAACAAAGAGGAGGGUGUUCAACAUCAUCCUGCUAGUCAGGAUUCUUCAGAAGCAGUGGAUUCUUGUGGCAGAGAUGGCCAACCACUAUAAAUACAUUUCAACUCAUCCUGGUUCCUUCAAAGAACUUUCCUGCUUGUUUGCUACUGAAAAAUUCGACAUGUGGCCUAAACGAAGAGGGGUUAAAAGGUCUAUGGAUCAUCAUUCUCAGAAAGCAACAAAAUAACUGAGAAAUAAACAACAAUACGAUGGUGCAAUCUAGAGACCUACAAGGUACCUGC
Non-coding RNA from Danio rerio (zebrafish), 789 nucleotides. NCBI's taxonomy places the organism in Eukaryota, Metazoa, Chordata, Actinopteri, Cypriniformes, Danionidae. The record is from Ensembl.